Molecule: transfer RNA, 74 nt
Filed under: Sus scrofa (pig)
Lineage: Eukaryota; Metazoa; Chordata; Mammalia; Artiodactyla; Suidae
Rfam family: tRNA
About the family: Transfer RNA (tRNA) molecules are approximately 80 nucleotides in length. Their secondary structure includes four short double-helical elements and three loops (D, anti-codon, and T loops).
Source: Rfam by way of RNAcentral
UCCCUGGUGGCUUAGUGGGUUAAAGAUCUAGCAUUGUCACUGCUAUGGCUCUGGUUUGUUCCCUGCCCUGGGAA